UACAGAGGGUGCAAGCGUUAAUCGGAAUUACUGGCGUAAAGCGCGCGUAGGUGGUUUGUUAAGUUGGAUGUGAAAUCCCCCGGGCUCAACCUGGGAACUGCAUUCAAAACUGACAAGCUAGAGUAUGGUAGAGGGUGGUGGAAUUUCCUGUGUAGCGGUGAAAUGCGUAGAUAUCGGGAGGAACACCAGUGGCGAAGGCGGCUCACUGGCCCGGUACUGACGCUGAGGUGCGAAAGCGUGGGGAGCAAACAGG
This 253-nucleotide ribosomal RNA is filed under the name uncultured bacterium. RNAcentral's name for it is "partial 16S ribosomal RNA". It matches the Rfam family "Bacterial small subunit ribosomal RNA", at positions 524 to 776 of the family's 1533-position model. The record is from RNAcentral.